Molecule: long non-coding RNA, 330 nt
Filed under: Carica papaya (papaya)
Lineage: Eukaryota; Viridiplantae; Streptophyta; Magnoliopsida; Brassicales; Caricaceae
Description: long non-coding RNA (CPAP_LNC003283)
Source: RNAcentral
AAGUUACAUUGGUUCCUGUGAGAAGACACCCCUAGGGCCCUCGGUGAGCCGAAAAAAAUAUCGAAAACCGAAACUUACUGCGACGGAGCUCUCCAGUGCAGCGGCUCCUCCAGCUCGAGUCGUGAUUUGGUGUUUUGCUCCGGUCAACCUGUAGAGGAAGGAACGGUGGUCACAAUGGUGUAAAAAUUACAUCGAACGGGAAUUGGGAAGGGCCUCAUCGGAGGCAAAAACUAAUGAAACCCGCGGCGGUGCCGCUGGGCUUUGGCGGCGUUUUUUGGCAAAUUGGCAAGUGUUUUGGCUCCGAUUUGGCCACAGGUGAGUGUUUAGAAU